AACGAACGCUGGCGGCAUGCCUAACACAUGCAAGUCGAACGAAACCUUCGGGUCUAGUGGCGCACGGGUGCGUAACGCGUGGGAACCUGCCCUUAGGUUCGGAAUAACUCCCCGAAAGGGGUGCUAAUACCGGAUAAUGUCUUCGGACCAAAGAUUUAUCGCCUUUGGAUGGGCCCGCGUUGGAUUAGCUAGUUGGUAGGGUAAAAGCCUACCAAGGCGACGAUCCAUAGCUGGUCUGAGAGGAUGAUCAGCCACACUGGGACUGAGACGCGGCCCAGACUCCUACGGGAGGGAGCAGUGGGGAAUAUUGGACAAUGGGCGAAAGCCUGAUCCAGCAAUGCCGGGUGAGUGAUGAAGGCCUUAGGGUUGUAAAGCUCUUUUAACCGGGAUGAUAAUGACAGUACCGGGAGAAUAAGCUCCGGCUAACUCCGUG
RNAcentral lists this ribosomal RNA (433 nucleotides) under uncultured bacterium. Its description in RNAcentral is "partial 16S ribosomal RNA". It matches the Rfam family "Bacterial small subunit ribosomal RNA", at positions 29 to 507 of the family's 1533-position model. The record is from RNAcentral.